This 327-nucleotide ribosomal RNA is filed under the name uncultured eukaryote. Its description in RNAcentral is "partial 18S ribosomal RNA". It matches the Rfam family "Eukaryotic small subunit ribosomal RNA", at positions 1470 to 1796 of the family's 1831-position model. The record is from RNAcentral.
CCCUUAGAUGCUCUGGGCCGCACACGCGCUACACUGAAGGAGGCAGCGUGUACUCCUGGAUCGAAAGAUUUGGGUAACCCGCGAAUCUCCUUCGUGCUAGGGAUUGAGGUUUGCAAUUAUCCUUCAUGAACGAGGAAUUCCCAGUAAGUGCAAGUCAUAAGCUUGCGCUGACUACGUCCCUGCCCUUUGUACACACCGCCCGUCGCUACUACCGAUUGAAUGAUUUAGUGAGGACUUCGGACUGGGACCGAUGCGGCUUUCGGGCUGCGUCGGUAUUCUGGAAAGAUGUCCAAACUGUAUCAUUUAGAGGAAGUAAAAGUCGUANCA